This 332-nucleotide unclassified non-coding RNA is filed under the name soil metagenome. Its description in RNAcentral is "partial contains 5.8S ribosomal RNA, internal transcribed spacer 2, and large subunit ribosomal RNA". The stretch from base 1 to 121 matches the Rfam family "5.8S ribosomal RNA", at positions 35 to 154 of the family's 154-position model. The record is from RNAcentral.
GAUGAAGAAACGUAGCAAAAUGCGAUAAGUAAUGUGAAUUGCAGAAUUCAGUGAAUCAUCGAAUCUUUGAACGCACAUUGCGCCCGCCAGUAUUCUGGCGGGCAUGCCUGUUCGAGCGUCAUUUCAACCCUCAAGCACAGCUUGGUGUUGGGACUCGCGUUAAUUCGCGUUCCCCAAAUUGAUUGGCGGUCACGUCGAGCUUCCAUAGCGUAGUAGUAAAACCCUCGUUACUGGUAAUCGUCGCGGCCACGCCGUUAAACCCCAACUUCUGAAUGUUGACCUCGGAUCAGGUAGGAAUACCCGCUGAACUUAAGCAUAUCAAUAAGGGAGGA